CAAUAGCGUAUAUUAAAGUUGUUGCAGUUAAAAAACUCGUAGUUGAAUUUUUGCUUGCCGCCGAUGUCGGAACUUCCGUACGUUCGGCGGCGUGCAUCCUUGGGUGGAACCUGUGUGGCAUUAGGUUGUCGUGCAGGGGAUGCUCAUCGUUUACUGUGAAAAAAUUAGAGUGUUCAAAGCAGGCUUACGCCGUUGAAUAUAUUAGCAUGGAAUAAUAAGAUAGGACCUUGGUACUAUUUUGUUGGUUUGCGCACCGAGGUAAUGAUUAACAGGGACAGUUGGGGGUAUUCGUAUUCCAUUGUCAGAGGUGAAAUUCUUGGAUUUCUGGAAGACGAACUACUGCGAAAGCAUUUACCAAGGAUGUUUUCAUUAA
RNAcentral lists this ribosomal RNA (373 nucleotides) under uncultured eukaryote. RNAcentral's name for it is "partial 18S ribosomal RNA". It matches the Rfam family "Eukaryotic small subunit ribosomal RNA", at positions 592 to 976 of the family's 1831-position model. The record is from RNAcentral.